Molecule: ribosomal RNA, 479 nt
Filed under: Staphylococcus aureus
Lineage: Bacteria; Bacillati; Bacillota; Bacilli; Caryophanales; Staphylococcaceae
Description: partial 23S ribosomal RNA
Rfam family: Bacterial large subunit ribosomal RNA
Source: RNAcentral
GUGAAAUUCCGUCGGAAUCUGGGAGGACCAUCUCCUAAGGCUAAAUACUCUCUAGUGACCGAUAGUGAACCAGUACCGUGAGGGAAAGGUGAAAAGCACCCCGGAAGGGGAGUGAAAUAGAACCUGAAACCGUGUGCUUACAAGUAGUCAGAGCCCGUUAAUGGGUGAUGGCGUGCCUUUUGUAGAAUGAACCGGCGAGUUACGAUUUGAUGCAAGGUUAAGCAGUAAAUGUGGAGCCGUAGCGAAAGCGAGUCUGAAUAGGGCGUUUAGUAUUUGGUCGUAGACCCGAAACCAGGUGAUCUACCCUUGGUCAGGUUGAAGUUCAGGUAACACUGAAUGGAGGACCGAACCGACUUACGUUGAAAAGUGAGCGGAUGAACUGAGGGUAGCGGAGAAAUUCCAAUCGAACCUGGAGAUAGCUGGUUCUCUCCGAAAUAGCUUUAGGGCUAGCCUCAAGUGAUGAUUAUUGGAGGUAGAGC